Molecule: ribosomal RNA, 478 nt
Filed under: uncultured bacterium
Lineage: Bacteria
Description: partial 16S ribosomal RNA
Rfam family: Bacterial small subunit ribosomal RNA
Source: RNAcentral
GACGAACGCUGGCGGCGUGCUUAACACAUGCAAGUCGAACGGUAAGGCCCUUCGGGGUACACGAGUGGCGAACGGGUGAGUAACACGUGGGUGAUCUGCCCUGCACUUCGGGAUAAGCCUGGGAAACUGGGUCUAAUACCGGAUAGGACCACUGCCUGCAGUGGCGGUGGUGGAAAGCUUUUGCGGUGUGGGAUGGGCCCGCGGCCGAUCAGCUUGUUGGUGGGGUGAUGGCCUACCAAGGCGACGACGGGUAGCCGGCCUGAGAGGGUGACCGGCCACAGGGGGACUGAGAUACGGCCCAGACGGCUACGGGAGGCAGCAGUGGGGAAUAUUGCAGAAUGGGCGCAAGCCUGAUGCAGCGACGCCGCGUGAGGGAUGACGGCCUUCGGGUUGUAAACCUCUUUCAGCACCGACGAAGCGCAAGUGACGGUAGGUGCAGAAGAAGGACCGGCCAACUACGUGCCAGCCGCCGCGGUAA